UUGAUUCCGGCUUUUUACUAACACUCUGGACGGCAGCUUUGGGAUGUGGAAAUCCAGAGCUUGUUGCCGAUAUGCUGAAUGUGUUUGGAAACGAAUUACACCUACCCGUGUGGGAGACAUCAGUCUUUAAGACAGCACAAAAAGUGAUUUGCCACAGUCAAGAGAAAGUUAACUUGGUACUGCAUCUGGAUUCAGCUGGACAACCCCAGAAUGAGGCCCUGUACAAUCUUGUUCUCCAUGUUCUUCUGCACCUUAAAUCUGCCAGAUUGACCCAACCUCAGCUUGAGGGAAUAUCCACUGAGAUGUGGAAACACAAAGUGAUGUCAUUCCAUAUGGAUUUGUGUCUGCAAGCAGCUCUCUGUCAUAAGGAAUCAGAAAUGACCACCAUAAAGACACUUCACACACUCUUUGGUGUACAGUUCAAUGAAUCUGAUUUCCUCUUAGAUCUGUACUCUCACUUGAGCAACCACAAGACACAAACUCAAGACACAAUCAGUAGUCUCCUCCCAGCACUGCAGCCAUUAUACCAGUCAGCCAAUCUAUUCUGGUCCAUUGACCUCUCAGAGAGAAAGGCCUCGCUCCUCCUGGAAGUGCUGAAACUCCAGAACCAGGAGUGCUCAGUAGAACUGAGAGGCUGGUCAGAUGAAGAGAGUGAAGUGAGGAGUUUCCUUCAGUGUCUGCCCUACAUCUCACAGCUCAGCUUCUAUCACAAAAUUCUUCAUGAACAA
Molecule: long non-coding RNA, 728 nt
Organism: Engraulis encrasicolus (European anchovy)
Lineage: Eukaryota; Metazoa; Chordata; Actinopteri; Clupeiformes; Engraulidae
Exons: 3
Source: RefSeq, a predicted model, not a curated record